Molecule: ribosomal RNA, 547 nt
Filed under: uncultured bacterium
Lineage: Bacteria
Description: bacterial SSU rRNA
Rfam family: Bacterial small subunit ribosomal RNA
Source: RNAcentral
AGGAAAUAGAUACCCGGGUAGUCCACGCCCUAAACGAUGUCAACUAGUUGUCGGGGAUUAACUUCCUUGGUAACGCAGCUAAACGCGUGAAAGUUGACCGCCUGGGGAGUACGGUCGCAAGAUUAAAACUCAAAGGAAUUGACGGGGACCCGCACAAGCGGUGGAUGAUGUGGAUUAAUUCGAUGCAACGCGAAAAACCUUACCUACCCUUGACAUGUCUGGAACCCUGCUGAGAGGUGGGGGUGCUCGAAAGAGAGCCAGAACACAGGUGCUGCAUGGCUGUCGUCAGCUCGUGUCGUGAGAUGUUGGGUUAAGUCCCGCAACGAGCGCAACCCUUGUCAUUAGUUGCUACGAAGGGGGCACUCUAAUGAGACUGCCGGUGACAAACCGGAGGAAGGUGGGGAUGACGUCAAGUCCUCAUGGCCCUUAUGGGUAGGGCUUCACACGUCAUACAAUGGUCGGUACAGAGGGUAGCCAACCCGGCGAGGGGGUAGCCAAUCCCAGAAAACCCGAUCGUAGUCCGGAUUGCAGUCUGCAACUCGACUGC